GUGACUACAAGUUCAACGGCCGCGGUAUUUUGACCGUGCAAAGGUAGCGCAAUCACUUGUCUUUUAAAUAGAGACCUGUAUGAAUGGCUAAACGAGGGCUUAGCUGUCUCCCCUUUCCAGUCAGUGAAAUUGAUUUACCCGUGCAGAAGCGGGUAUAAUAAUACAAGACGAGAAGACCCUUUGGAGCUUAAGGUACAAAACUCAACCAUGUAAAGCAACUCGAUGAAAAGUAAAAACUUUAUGGAAAAUGAAAUUUUACCUUCGGUUGGGGCGACCACGGAGGAAAAUGAAGCCUCCAAGUGGACCAGGACAAAUAUCCUAAAACCAAGAGAGACAUCUCUAAGCCACAGAACAUCUGACCAAACAUGAUCCGGCUAAUAAAGCCGAUCAACGGACCAAGUUACCCUAGGGAUAACAGCGCAAUCCUCUCCCAGAGUCCAUAUCGACGAGAGGGUUUACGACCUCGAUGU
This 470-nucleotide ribosomal RNA is filed under the name Hypsibarbus myitkyinae. RNAcentral describes it as "partial small subunit ribosomal RNA". It matches the Rfam family "Bacterial large subunit ribosomal RNA", at positions 1912 to 2532 of the family's 2925-position model. The record is from RNAcentral. Lineage: Eukaryota; Metazoa; Chordata; Actinopteri; Cypriniformes; Cyprinidae.